Schistocerca piceifrons (Central American locust) is the source of this 392-nucleotide long non-coding RNA. RefSeq lists it as uncharacterized. NCBI's taxonomy places the organism in Eukaryota, Metazoa, Arthropoda, Insecta, Orthoptera, Acrididae. The transcript is spliced from 3 exons. The record is from RefSeq and is a predicted model, not a curated record.
GUCUGGCUGUGUCCACCGCAAUUAAUCCAUAGACAUUCCAGUCUAUAAUCGGCAGAAGUAUAAAAAAAACGAAAGAGGAGUACUAGAAUUCAUUGGCAGUACUCUAUCAUCACUAUACAGCACGGACCUGGAGCACUCUACACCAUUUUCCCGAAGCAAUGAGGCCACGAAGACAAAUCUUUUUAUUACUUCCGGAUGUCAACCAAUUCAUCUGAUGAACUGGUGUACCUAAAGGACCAUUAUCAACGCCAAGAUACAAUUAUGAGGGAAAGUGCUCAACCGAUUCAGAUGUUGUCCAUAAUUCUAAGGUAUACUUACACUUUCUCAAAUUUGCAUUACACCUAAUCCCUCGGGAUUUAGACCAUAAGAAAGAUCGCCAGAGAGGAUCAUUG